RNAcentral lists this ribosomal RNA (1004 nucleotides) under Salmonella enterica. Its description in RNAcentral is "partial 23S ribosomal RNA". It matches the Rfam family "Bacterial large subunit ribosomal RNA", at positions 711 to 1712 of the family's 2925-position model. The record is from RNAcentral. Lineage: Bacteria; Pseudomonadati; Pseudomonadota; Gammaproteobacteria; Enterobacterales; Enterobacteriaceae.
AGACCCGAAACCCGGUGAUCUAGCCAUGGGCAGGUUGAAGGUUGGGUAACACUAACUGGAGGACCGAACCGACUAAUGUUGAAAAAUUAGCGGAUGACCUGUGGCUGGGGGUGAAAGGCCAAUCAAACCGGGAGAUAGCUGGUUCUCCCCGAAAGCUAUUUAGGUAGCGCCUCGUGAAUUCAUCUCCGGGGGUAGAGCACUGUUUCGGCUAGGGGGCCAUCCCGGCUUACCAACCCGAUGCAAACUGCGAAUACCGGAGAAUGUUAUCACGGGAGACACACGGCGGGUGCUAACGUCCGUCGUGAAGAGGGAAACAACCCAGACCGCCAGCUAAGGUCCCAAAGUCAUGGUUAAGUGGGAAACGAUGUGGGAAGGCCCAGACAGCCAGGAUGUUGGCUUAGAAGCAGCCAUCAUUUAAAGAAAGCGUAAUAGCUCACUGGUCGAGUCGGCCUGCGCGGAAGAUGUAACGGGGCUAAACCAUGCACCGAAGCUGCGGCAGCGACACUCAGGUGUUGUUGGGUAGGGGAGCGUUCUGUAAGCCUGUGAAGGUGGCCUGUGAGGGUUGCUGGAGGUAUCAGAAGUGCGAAUGCUGACAUAAGUAACGAUAAAGCGGGUGAAAAGCCCGCUCGCCGGAAGACCAAGGGUUCCUGUCCAACGUUAAUCGGGGCAGGGUGAGUCGACCCCUAAGGCGAGGCCGAAAGGCGUAGUCGAUGGGAAACGGGUUAAUAUUCCCGUACUUGGUGUUACUGCGAAGGGGGGACGGAGAAGGCUAUGUUGGCCGGGCGACGGUUGUCCCGGUUUAAGCGUGUAGGUGUGUGUUCCAGGUAAAUCCGGUUCACUUUAACACUGAGGCGUGAUGACGAGGCACUACGGUGCUGAAGCAACAAAUGCCCUGCUUCCAGGAAAAGCCUCUAAGCAUCAGGUAACAUCAAAUCGUACCCCAAACCGACACAGGUGGUCAGGUAGAGAAUACCAAGGCGCUUGAGAGAACUCGGGUGAAGGAA